AUUGAACGCUGGCGGCAGGCCUAACACAUGCAAGUCGAACGAGUGGCGGACGGGUGAGUAAUGUCUGGGAAACUGCCUGAUGGAGGGGGAUAACUACUGGAAACGGUAGCUAAUACCGCAUACCAUCGGAUGUGCCCAGCUGGGAUUAGCUAGUAGGUGGGGUAACGGCUACCCUAGGCGACGAUCCCUAGCUGGUCUGAGAGGAUGACCAGCCACCAGGGAACUGAGACACGGUCCAGACUCCUACGGGAGGCAGCAGUGGGGAAUAUUGCACAAUGGGCGCAAGCCUGAUGCAGCCAGGCCGCGGGUAUGAAGAAGGCGUUCGGGUUGUAAAGUACGUUCAGCGGGGAGGCGUUACCCGCAGAAGAAGCACCGGCUAACUCCGUGCCAGCAGCCGCGGUAAUAC
RNAcentral lists this ribosomal RNA (406 nucleotides) under uncultured bacterium. RNAcentral's name for it is "partial 16S ribosomal RNA". It matches the Rfam family "Bacterial small subunit ribosomal RNA", at positions 29 to 526 of the family's 1533-position model. The record is from RNAcentral.